GACGAACGCUGGCGGCAGGCUUAACACAUGCAAGUCGAACGCCCCGCAAGGGGAGUGGCAGACGGGUGAGUAACGCGUGGGAACAUACCCUUUCCUGCGGAAUAGCUCCGGGAAACUGGAAUUAAUACCGCAUACGCCCUACGGGGGAAAGAUUUAUCGGGGAAGGAUUGGCCCGCGUUGGAUUAGCUAGUUGGUGGGGUAAAGGCCUACCAAGGCGACGAUCCAUAGCUGGUCUGAGAGGAUGAUCAGCCACAUUGGGACUGAGACACGGCCCAAACUCCUACGGGAGGCAGCAGUGGGGAAUAUUGGACAAUGGGCGCAAGCCUGAUCCAGCCAUGCCGCGUGAGUGAUGAAGGCCUUAGGGUUGUAAAGCUCUUUCACCGAUGAAGAUAAUGACGGUAGUCGGAGAAGAAGCCCCGGCUAACUUCGUG
This 431-nucleotide ribosomal RNA is filed under the name uncultured bacterium. Its description in RNAcentral is "partial 16S ribosomal RNA". It matches the Rfam family "Bacterial small subunit ribosomal RNA", at positions 28 to 507 of the family's 1533-position model. The record is from RNAcentral.